This 253-nucleotide ribosomal RNA is filed under the name uncultured bacterium. Its description in RNAcentral is "partial 16S ribosomal RNA". It matches the Rfam family "Bacterial small subunit ribosomal RNA", at positions 524 to 776 of the family's 1533-position model. The record is from RNAcentral.
UACAGAGGGUGCAAACGUUGCUCGGAAUUAUUGGGCGUAAAGCGCGUGUAGGCGGCUUGUUAAGUCGGUCGUGAAAGCCCACGGCUCAACCGUGGAAGUGCAACCGAAACUGGCAAGCUUGAGUUCUGAAGAGGAUGGCGGAAUUCCCAGUGUAGAGGUGAAAUUCGUAGAUAUUGGGAGGAACAUCGGUGGCGAAGGCGGCCAUCUGGGAAGCGACUGACGCUGAGACGCGAAAGCGUGGGUAGCAAACAGG